GUAGGUGCUUGCACCUCUUGAGAGCGGCGGACGGGUGAGUAAUGCCUAGGAAUCUGCCUGGUAGUGGGGGAUAACGCUCGGAAACGGACGCUAAUACCGCAUACGUCCUACGGGAGAAAGCAGGGGACCUUCGGGCCUUGCGCUAUCAGAUGAGCCUAGGUCGGAUUAGCUAGUUGGUGAGGUAAUGGCUCACCAAGGCGACGAUCCGUAACUGGUCUGAGAGGAUGAUCAGUCACACUGGAACUGAGACACGGUCCAGACUCCUACGGGAGGCAGCAGUGGGGAAUAUUGGACAAUGGGCGAAAGCCUGAUCCAGCCAUGCCGCGUGUGUGAAGAAGGUCUUCGGAUUGUAAAGCACUUUAAGUUGGGAGGAAGGGCAGUUACCUAAUACGUAAUUGUUUUGACGUUACCGACAGAAUAAGCACCGGCUAACUCUGUGCCAGCAGCCGCGGUAAUACAGAGGGUGCAAGCGUUAAUCGGAAUUACUGGGCGUAAAGCGCGCGUAGGUGGUUCGUUAAGUUGGAUGUGAAAGCCCCGGGCUCAACCUGGGAACUGCAUUCAAAACUGACGAGCUAGAGUAUGGUAGAGGGUGGUGAAAUUUCCUGUGUAGCGGUGAAAUGCGUA
Molecule: ribosomal RNA, 624 nt
Filed under: Pseudomonas lini
Lineage: Bacteria; Pseudomonadati; Pseudomonadota; Gammaproteobacteria; Pseudomonadales; Pseudomonadaceae
Description: bacterial SSU rRNA
Rfam family: Bacterial small subunit ribosomal RNA
Source: RNAcentral